AACACAACUCUAGACACAAAUCAAAAUAAUACAAGCUUUAUAUUACAAGACAGGGGCCUCGAGGGCUCGAAUACAGGCUCGAUACACAAGAGUCAGCGGAAGCAGCAAUAUCUGAGUACAGACAUAAGUAAAACAAGACUGCCCUAAGAAGGCUAGCACAAAAGCAACACGAUCAAAGAGGAAGGCUAGCACAAAAGCAACACGAUCAAAGAGGCAAGGCCUCCUGCCUGGGACCUCCUAACUACUCCUGGUCGUCGGUGAUCUUCAUGUAGUAGUAUCCGUCGACGGUGGCAUAUGGCUCCAAGGAUCCACCACCUGGUUGCGACAACCGGAAAGAAGAAAGAAGGGGGAAAAGGGGUAGCAAAGCAACCGUGAGUACUCAUCCAAAAUACUCGCAAGCAUCAGAUCUAUACUAAGUAUGCACUGGUAUCAAAUGGGAGGUUUGUAUCUGUGGACUGAACUGCAGAAUGCCAAAAUAGAGGGGGAAGGCCUAGCCUAUCGAAUACUAGCAUCUUCAAGCAGCUCCGAGCAUCUUGCAGCAUGUAGAAGAGUAAAGAAUAGCAGUUUAUAAUUAACAAGCAUGUUGUAACAUUAACGCCCAGAGAUCCUUGCUCGACUCCCUGCGAGAAAGCAAUCCCGGAGCCACAUAUCUUAAGUAUCCAUUUGUAGUUGUAUAAGAUCAGUAUAUAAGUCUGAACGUCCGUUACCGUGGGCAGGGCUAUUAGUAGAUAAACUUCCCUGCAGUGGUGCACCACGUUUUCCAACACGCUUGAUUACUCUGGCCGGACACACCUUUCUGGGGUCAAUGCCCGGCCUCGGAAGAUCAACACGUCACAGCCCUACCUAGGCUCAGCAGAGAGGUCCCCGCCGUCUACCUCCUAAGCACUCCGGGGUCUGGGCCCAUCGCCCGUUGCACUCCGGGUCAUUGCGAGCAGGGCAGACCAGGCUCCACCACUACAGGAUGGUGUCGGCCCAGUCGUGCCACACUGCUGAACUGGACGUCUGACAAAGCUUCGGCUGGUACCACGAUGUCGAGGCCCAUAACUAUUCUCACGUGGUGGUUGGUGCGUAAAGGCCAAAGGCCAACUCAGAACAAAUACCCAAACCAUAGUGUAUUAUUAGCUUGUGGAGACGAGCAGAGACUCACGAUCGAAAGUGACCCCGUUGCCCCGUCUCCUGGACUUACGACAAGGGCCUAGAAUGCCCGGUCGUGCCACGUAACCAUCUUGCGGGUGCUCUCCGGGCCCGCCCGACUUUCACCAAGGUCUCAAGUAAAGUCAAUUGUAACCGUGUGUCUAAACAUCAAGGGGAAAACCCGAGGAAUCACCCACUGAGGAUUCCACUCGAUGUAACCAUCAAGGAGAACGUAAGAGGGACCACCCUCGAGGUUCACACUUGAGGUGUUGAACGAUAGAGCCGCAUCGGGAAUGGUGAAAGAGGAAAUCACCCUCAAUGACCAUGACCGAAUAGCUACACUAUAGAAUUAUCAUCAGGAGUGCGUUAUGAGGGAUCACCCUCAGCACUCAAUAGUAACUCUGAAGAGUCGAGCAACUAAAGGGGCAUGAUGUGAUGUGAGGUGUCGGGCUCUGGUCAUCGAUCGCGUUGAUCGAGUCAUCAAAGAUGAAGCAGGGGCUACUAGGACAAGUGGGAGUCACUGAUGGAUCACUAACCAACCUAUACUAAACAAUUUAGGAUAAGCAGGUAAGGUACAACAAUAGGUACAAAAGCAGGUUAUGCAUCAGAAUAGGAGCAAUCAAUAACAGUAGCAAAGUCUAAUGCAAGCAUGAGAGUAUAGAAUGGGCGANNNNNNNNNNNNNNNNNNNNNNNNNNNNNNNNNNNNNNNNNNNNNNNNNNNNNNNNNNNNNNNNNNNNNNNNNNNNNNNNNNNNNNNNNNNNNNNNNNNNNNNNNNNNNNNNNNNNNNNNNNNNNNNNNNNNNNNNNNNNNNNNNNNNNNNNNNNNNNNNNNNNNNNNNNNNNNNNNNNNNNNNNNNNNNNNNNNNNNNNNNNNNNNNNNNNNNNNNNNNNNNNNNNNNNNNNNNNNNNNNNNNNNNNNNNNNNNNNNNNNNNNNNNNNNNNNNNNNNNNNNNNNNNNNNNNNNNNNNNNNNNNNCGUCGUCGAUGUAGUCGAUCAUAGGGGCAUCAGCAGCGGUCUCGGGAUCUACCGGAGAGAAGAGGGGGGAAGAAACCGUAAAUGCACGCAAACAUAUGCAUAACAAGACAAGAAGCAGGGCUAGAAGUGUUCUAACGCAGCGCUAGGCGAUACUGGCGAAGGGGGAAACAUCCGGGAAAGUUUUCCCGGUCCGGUAGGUUUGUCAGACAGAUGAACCGGAGGACAAAGUUUGCAGGUUCGUUAUGCUAGGGACGUGUGGCAGACGAACGGACCGCGUGUCCGGAUUCGUCUCGAAAUUCUGAGCAACUUGCAUGUAGAAAACUUUUUCAUCCGAGCUAUGGUUUAUUUUAUAUUAAUUUUUAAAUUUUAUUUCAUUUUUAGGAAUAACAGAAUUAAUUUAAUUAGGAAAACUAAUUAUGACGUCAGCGUGAUGUCAACAGUCAAUCGCCUGUUGACUGGGUCAACAGACGUGUGGUUCUCAUUUGUCAUUGACACAUUGCCCUAACUAACAGAUUAGUUAGUUUAAUUAGAUAUUUAGGUUAAUUAAGUUUAAUUAGUUUAAUUAGGCACGAUUAAUUAAGUUGAUUAAUUAGUAAAUUAAUUUAAUUACUAAAUUUUUUAUCUUUUUUUUAAAUGUUCACGGGGCUGGGCCCCCCUAUCAUUGGCCCAGGGGGCCUUAGCGGGUGCGUGGGCAGACGGGUGUGGGCGCUGGGCGCCGGGUUAACGGGCGGAGCUCGGUUGGGCACCCGAGCGGGCGCUAUGACCAGCGAGCAAAGGGGGGAGGCGCGCGACGCGACGCCGGCGGUCGCGGCCGCGGCCGGAGCAGGGCGGCGCAGCGAGGGAGCGACGUGCGUGGGUGUGGGCCGGUGGCCGAAGGGGGCAGAGGGGCACCGGGGAGGCGCGGCCCCGGACGUAGGCGAGGGCAGGUGGUGCGGCGACGACCGGAGCAGGGAGCUGUGGGGAAAAGUCGCGACGAAGGGGGAAGAGGAGGCCGAGUGCCUCACCGUGGGGCUGUAGGGAAACGACAGCAGGGGUUGAGGAGGAGGACAGGGACGGCGGCGGUGCAGCUCCAGCGAUGUCCAGGCAGCGGCGAUGAUCGACGUGGCGACGUGGCUCCGACGACGGAGAGGCACGAGGAGGUCCGGCGACGAGGUGGUCGGCAGCGACGAGGUAGGGACAAGCGACGUCGGUUGCUGUGGCGACGGUGAUGGCGAACGACGUCGAGCGACGGGGGUACCAGCUGCCAUCGGGGCAGAGGCGAGGGCCGUCGCGGCGAUGUCGGGGAGGUGGGGUCAGGGGCGAUGUGGAUCGCCUGGAUCCAGCAGAGAGAGGGGGAGGAGUGGAGGAAGGCGAGGCGUCCGGCGAGGGGGGAGUUCUUUGGGCGGCGGGCGGCGUUCGAUGGGGCCGGGGCAACUGCCCCGAUCCAGAUCCGAUCGGGGGGAGAGGGGGAAGAGUGAGGGAAACGUGGGGGAGUGGGGUUGGUCGCUAGGGUUCCUGGGAAGUGGGGGUAGGUGUAGUGGGGGUGGCUGGGCCGGUUCGGUUGGGCCGGACCUUGUUGGCUAAAGGGGCCAAGUGGCCCAAUAGGUUUAGGUCUUCCCCUACGUUUUCUUCUCUGACUCUUUUAUUUCUACUUUGAUUUGCAAAUUGUUAGACCACCCAUUCACAUUUGUAAAAUAUGAGACUUGGCUCAUUAAAUUACAUGCAAAACUUAGCACUAUCAGAAAAAGGUUUGGUGGCAAGAUGAUUUCAUUUGUAUUUGUAUUAAUUGUAAAUGGGAUAAAUAUUGCUAUUUUGGCACUAUUUUAUUCACAAAAGAGCAUUAAAAUACUUUUCAAAAAUGUUAGGUAACCACCAUAAUUGGUUAUGGAAUAUUUUCCACACUUUGAACAUUUUAUUUUGUGUGUUUAAGAAUUUUGAAUUUUGGUCUUUAAUUUGAAUUGAAUUUGAAUUAUGAUUUGAUCAAGCGAGGAUUAGCAACAGUAAUGUGAUGACAUGGCAUCAUUAACAGGGAUUACUGUAGCUUGAUUAUCCGGGCGUCACAAUUCUCCUCCACUACAAGAAAUUUCGUCCCGAGAUUUAAGGGGGUGGAGUAAGGGGGAAAGACUUGGGAAGGAUGGAGCUCAAUCCCAAGAUAGGUACCUGGGGGCUAUCUCAGUGAAUGUGGCAUAGAGGCAUCUCUCGACUUGAAAUUCAAGAAAGUCAUCAAGAGCAAGAAGGUACCAUAAUAAGUUUCAAGCGGAUAGACAAUCGUUCGAUGUCUGAAACAGAGGGUGAAAGGCGUUCAGAUAAUGGGAAAGUAUUGCAUCUGAUACUAGAAUAGAUCACUAGGAAGAUGGCUCGUGAUUUACAUACGAAGCCAAGUGCGAGGAAUAACUUAGAAAAUUGGGAUGCAUAGAAGAGUCAGGUUCCGAUCCUAUGGAACUGUGGGUUAUGGGCCCACCAGGUGGGUUAAAAGCAGGAAGGGUGCUAACAUUUGCAUGUUCAUGAUAGCAAGGCAGGUCAGAGGAUAGCUUGUCAGUUAUGUUGGCAACAAAGUUGGUACCAAGGGCGAGGGACGAAGAGAACCAUUUCCCUACUCGUUAAGAUGAGGCGGACCAAUAGGUAAUGUUCUCGUCCAUCGGUGGCUACCGGAAUGUCAUCAACAAUAGUAAUAAGGUCUUACAGACAAAGCUUGUACACCGAGGUGUUUACAUAAGCAGGAAAUUAUCACUGCUCAGAUAAGAUAUGUUACAAGGAAGAUUAAACAAAACAAUGGAAAGGAAAGCGUAGACUCGAAUCAGUUCUCUGUAUUCUCAAGUGUCUAGCAACUCCGAACCUGUGGAAAAUUUGAAUCAGCAAGAAAUAAUAGUUGAUGAAGAACUCAUAAGAAGUUAUGUAGUUCCAAGACAUUCUCGAGAUAACAGAGUGUAAUACUCGAAGGUAGAACAUGAUAGAGGUUGGACAGGUGAAAAGAUCUGAAGUGGACAAGUACUUCAACUUGUGUGAGAAAUGGGAUCAAAGAAGAACUAUAUGGUCGGAACCACGGUUGCAAAGGACCAAAUAUAGAUACAAGAUGAACUUAUCACAAGGGGGUUAUCAUUAUAACAAGAAGCUUCCAUGAUAAGUUCCACAUCGGGUCCAUGGGCAUGAACACAAAGGUUCAAGGUCGACUCCCACUUCUUUAAUGCACAACUUUCCAUUCACUUCUCGCUUUCGAAGAAGUUGUAGCAUUGACAUUUACCUGACGAAAAGCCAGUAGAGUAUAACCCGCAUAACUUUCGUGUCCACAAGGAUUUAGGGAAUACAUAGAUUCAAACCACUGGGCAUCUUAGGAACAUAUACCAAAAACUUCACGAUUAAAUAACUCAAUCCCGAGAGUAGAGCAUGGUUGAGGAAGCAGAAGAUACAAUUUACCAAAGGCAUUAUGUAUCCGAGGAAAAGCUCACAAGGUUACUGUAUAUGAAGGACGUUGUUGGAUAGAACCCCACAAAGGAUCUAGUGGUUCACAAGGGAUCUGAUGUGAGCAUCAAUACUCAACCAGAAGUAGAAAGAAUGCAAGGAUAUCAGAUUAUAGAAGCAACUGACUAGUUCGGAGUUCAAUGCAAAGGAAUUACGAUUUCCAAAAUCAAGGGGUCAGAAGCAAACGCUCUGACCAAGGAUGGUUAAGUUGAAUAGACUUAGGGCACAAUCGAUGGCAAUCUGAUUGGCCGAGAACUAGCUCAUGUUUGGGAAGGCGGAAAGAUAAUCUAUAAGGAUCAACUGAUGAUUGCGACACAGACAUAUCAAAUCGAAAGACUCAAGAUGAUAAUGAUAAAGGACGUCAAUGGAUACUGCUAGGCAUAUGGAAUUAACCAGAGUGUAGGCAAGUAAGACUUUUUAGAGCAAUAGGCGAUAAAGGUCAUCGAAAGCUCGGAUUGUAUUAAAAAGUAUCUUAUGAAGCAUAAGAAUAACUGGGGAUGAAUGGAUACUCGAUAAAAGCGAGUAAUUAUCUGUAGGGGUAUUCAUGCAGCAAGGACCGCAGGGCAGUAAGCAUAAAGGACCCUCAGAAUACCGAAGAGUAUUUCAAGACAUCUUGUAAUAACAAGAGCAACUGGGGAUGAAGGUAUGAACGACAAUGUAGGUAGUUAUGCAUAAGGAUUUAUCGGUGUUAGGGAUUGCAAUGACGAAGGGCACAAGGGUCUCGAGAAAACUUCGGAGAGUAUCUUCAGAAACUUCUAGUGCACCAAGCAUUCAUCUGGAGUGGGGGGCUCUCCAGGAGAAAGUAUUUACGAGAUCCUAAAGUUAGAGUUAAUAUCAUUUAACCCGAAUAGAAGAGAGAUCAGAGUCCUAGAGUAAAGGUCGAGGAGUAAAAGAUCCUAAUACCACCCAAUGGCGACGUGGGCCCAUAAGCCACACAUCCAUUUUAGUAAAACGGAUUUUCAAAGACUAGACUCAACUUCGACCAAGGAGUUGGAAAGCGGGAUCCAAAAGGCAGUCGACUCUGAUACCAACUUGUGACGCCCUCGAUUCAAUUGUACACUAAUCAUACACACAAAUGUGUAUGAUCAAGAUCAGGGACUCACGGGAAGAUAUCACAACACAACUCUAGACACAAAUCAAAAUAAUAUAAGCUUUAUAUUACAAGCCAGGGGCCUCGAGGGCUCGAAUACAAGCUCGAUACUAAGAGUCAGCGGAAGCAGCAAUAUCUAAGUACAGACAUAAGUUAAACAAGACUGCCUUAAGAAGGCUAGCACAAAAGCAACACGGUCGAAGAGGUAAGGCCUCCUGCCUGGGACCUCCUAACUACUCCUGGUCGUCG
RNAcentral lists this long non-coding RNA (6886 nucleotides) under Triticum aestivum (bread wheat). Its description in RNAcentral is "long non-coding RNA (TAES_LNC015920)". The record is from RNAcentral. Lineage: Eukaryota; Viridiplantae; Streptophyta; Magnoliopsida; Poales; Poaceae.